Molecule: ribosomal RNA, 313 nt
Filed under: Urodacus uncinus
Lineage: Eukaryota; Metazoa; Arthropoda; Arachnida; Scorpiones; Urodacidae
Description: Urodacus sp. 1 MSH-2023c partial large subunit ribosomal RNA
Rfam family: Eukaryotic large subunit ribosomal RNA
Source: RNAcentral
CCAAGGAGUCUAACAUGUGCGCGAGUCGUCGGGUCUUGAAUAGGCCCGCGGGCGCAAUGAAAGUGAAGGGCGACCCCGUUGUCGUCUGCGUUGGGAUCCCCAGUACCGCCGCGUCUGGGGCGCACCAACGGCCCGUCCCGUCCGCAGUGUCGGUGGGACGGAGCGAGAGCGUACACGUUGGGACCCGAAAGAUGGUGAACUAUGCCUGGGCAGGACGAGGCCAGAGGAAACUCUGGUGGAGGUCCGCAGCGAUUCUGACGUGCAAAUCGAUCGUCAGACCUGGGUAUAGGGGCGAAAGACUAAUCGAACCAUC